UAAAUAAACGCAAGUUCAGUCCAUCAACGACACUCGUGCGAGGCGGAUGCGAAAGCGCGCGCAACUCUCUCUGCCCAGUGCCAUAAACAAAACAUUGACAGGAGUACAAUUACCAAAAAAAUAUAAAUAAUAAAAACAACAACAAAAUGCCAAACAAGAUAAUAUAAACAAGAAAUCACAGACAGUAUUUACAGCAGCAGCGGUAGCGCAGCAGAAGCCAGCGUCAGCGCCGACAGCGUUUGAAGAACGCCCUCCGAUCGACCGA
RNAcentral lists this small RNA (265 nucleotides) under Drosophila mojavensis. RNAcentral's name for it is "GI26250". Lineage: Eukaryota; Metazoa; Arthropoda; Insecta; Diptera; Drosophilidae. The record is from RNAcentral.